Molecule: ribosomal RNA, 472 nt
Filed under: uncultured bacterium
Lineage: Bacteria
Description: bacterial SSU rRNA
Rfam family: Bacterial small subunit ribosomal RNA
Source: RNAcentral
UGGGGAAUUUUGGACAAUGGGCGAAAGCCUGAUCCGGCAAUGCCGCGUGCAGGAAGAAGGCCUUCGGGUUGUAAACUGCUUUUGUACGGAACGAAAAGGCUCUUUCUAAUAAAGAGGGCCCAUGACGGUACCGUAAGAAUAAGCACCGGCUAACUACGUGCCAGCAGCCGCGGUAAGACGUAGGAUGCAAGCGUUGUCCGGAUUUAUUGGGCGUAAAGAGUUCGUAGGCUGUUUGUUAAGUCUGAUGUUAAAGACUGGGGCUCAACCUCGGAAAUGCAUUGGAUACUGGCAGACUGGAGUGCAGUAGAGGCUAGUGGAAUUCCCAGUGUAGCGGUGAAAUGCGUAGAUAUGUGGAGGAAUACCGAUGGCGAAGGCAGCCCCCUGGGCUAACACUGACGCUCAUGCACGAAAGCGUGGGGAGCAAACAGGAUUAGAUACCCGUGUAGUCCCUGAGCGGGCUGGCAAGGCGCAU